GAUCACUGAGAGAGCAUGAGAGAGACUUGUUGUCCCUCAGGAGGCCGCUGUGGGGGGACGGACUCUGAUUUUAAUGAAGAGCCCAGAGGUGCAACAGACGAAUGAUACAGAAGAAAGAAAGAAGAAGAAAGUGUGUGUCAUCAGGAACUUACCAAGUCUCGAACGGGAAACGGCAGCACCCGGCGAGCCAAUCUUCUCUCCCGGCGUCCUCUGUGAGGACUUUAAUGGGAUCAGCUCCACCUGGAUAAACUGGCUGUGGAGCCCGUUGUGUCAAACAAACUGGCUAAAGACGUUUGUGAUUUUAUGGGAGCAGAUGUCAACCUGAACUCUUAAAAAACAGUGACGGUUUGUAUUUAGAUCAUUGCAUGAAGAGGAUGCAGGUUUUUUAUUGGACGCUGUGGUAGCUCUCCUUGUUGAGAGGAAGUACAGUAGUAAUAAUUUAAGCUCCGAAUAUCUUGUACGAUUACAUAUACUGAAGGAAAGGUCCUGUGAUAUUCAGUCAAUUAAACCCAUAAAAAGACCAAAACCAACAACUGUCAGUGUGUAUCCAAAGCCUGAUAUAU
Perca fluviatilis (European perch) is the source of this 563-nucleotide long non-coding RNA. RefSeq lists it as uncharacterized. The record is from RefSeq and is a predicted model, not a curated record. The transcript is spliced from 3 exons. NCBI's taxonomy places the organism in Eukaryota, Metazoa, Chordata, Actinopteri, Perciformes, Percidae.